RNAcentral lists this ribosomal RNA (253 nucleotides) under uncultured bacterium. Its description in RNAcentral is "partial 16S ribosomal RNA". It matches the Rfam family "Bacterial small subunit ribosomal RNA", at positions 524 to 776 of the family's 1533-position model. The record is from RNAcentral.
UACGUAGGGUGCGAGCGUUAAUCGGAAUUACUGGGCGUAAAGCGCGCGUAGGCGGUUUGGUAAGUGGGAUGUGAAAGCCCCGGGCUUAACCUGGGAACUGCAUUCCAAACUGCCAGGCUAGAGUUUGGUAGAGGGAGGUGGAAUUUCCUGUGUAGCGGUGAAAUGCGUAGAUAUAGGAAGGAACACCAGUGGCGAAGGCGGCCUCCUGGACCAAAACUGACGCUGAGGUGCGAAAGCGUGGGGAGCAAACAGG